RNAcentral lists this ribosomal RNA (649 nucleotides) under Salmonella enterica. Its description in RNAcentral is "partial 23S ribosomal RNA". It matches the Rfam family "Bacterial large subunit ribosomal RNA", at positions 2154 to 2802 of the family's 2925-position model. Lineage: Bacteria; Pseudomonadati; Pseudomonadota; Gammaproteobacteria; Enterobacterales; Enterobacteriaceae. The record is from RNAcentral.
GCUUUGAAGUGUGGACGCCAGUCUGCAUGGAGCCGACCUUGAAAUACCACCCUUUAAUGUUUGAUGUUCUAACGUGGAUCCGUGAUCCGGGUUGCGGACAGUGUCUGGUGGGUAGUUUGACUGGGGCGGUCUCCUCCUAAAGAGUAACGGAGGAGCACGAAGGUUGGCUAAUCCUGGUCGGACAUCAGGAGGUUAGUGCAAUGGCAUAAGCCAGCUUGACUGCGAGCGUGACGGCGCGAGCAGGUGCGAAAGCAGGUCAUAGUGAUCCGGUGGUUCUGAAUGGAAGGGCCAUCGCUCAACGGAUAAAAGGUACUCCGGGGAUAACAGGCUGAUACCGCCCAAGAGUUCAUAUCGACGGCGGUGUUUGGCACCUCGAUGUCGGCUCAUCACAUCCUGGGGCUGAAGUAGGUCCCAAGGGUAUGGCUGUUCGCCAUUUAAAGUGGUACGCGAGCUGGGUUUAGAACGUCGUGAGACAGUUCGGUCCCUAUCUGCCGUGGGCGCUGGAGAACUGAGGGGGGCUGCUCCUAGUACGAGAGGACCGGAGUGGACGCAUCACUGGUGUUCGGGUUGUCAUGCCAAUGGCACUGCCCGGUAGCUAAAUGCGGAAGAGAUAAGUGCUGAAAGCAUCUAAGCACGAAACUUGCCCCGA